CAUGGAGGCGAUGUGGCUCAAUCAUCUCUUCAAAGAAUUUCCAGCUGAAACAGGAAUUACAAAGGCCUUGCUGCAGGAGGAAAGGCUUUGGGUGGAGAAGAGGAGCCUUUUGACUAUGGAAUAGCUAUGGACCUAUCAAGAUGGGAGUAAGGGAUGGGAUGGAAGAGAGCAUAGCAAGGUACUUGGAAAAUGAUUGCAACAAAGUGACAGAGUUGUCCAUUGUGGUGUGUUUUGGGUUUUUGGUUUGUUCUUUUUUAAAUGCUCAACAUAAAAGAAACAAGCUCCUGAUAAAGGCCUGCUGCUAAAUAAUGGAUUUUGAACAAGCAGCGUUUACAGGUGCCAGAACUACCUCUGUGAAUAUCUGUAAUGUUUUGACAAAUCCCAUUUGAUGUCAAAACCUCCUACUUCCUCUCAAAAAAAAUUUGGUGACUUGAGUGCCUAGAUCCAGGAGCCAGUUGCAAUCCUGAACAGCCAAGCCUGGGGAGACUCUGGGCAGGGAACAGAGAACACUUCCCUGCAGGUCCUUGAGCAGCUUCUGUCAAUCUUCUUGAUACCUGUGGGAGUUGCAUGCACAGCCAGAUGUAAUAGCCUCUGCAGGUGAAAAUUCUGAAAAUACUUGUCUGCGUACAAGCAUGGCUUCAGCCUACAGCUAGUAUUGUGAAGUUAAUGAAAUACGUACUUUCAGAUCUCCUGAGAUAUUGGCUCCUGCAAGAAUGCCAGUAGCAGCUGGGAAAAAAAUGGCAAACAC
This is a non-coding RNA of Phalacrocorax carbo (great cormorant), 748 nucleotides long. NCBI's taxonomy places the organism in Eukaryota, Metazoa, Chordata, Aves, Suliformes, Phalacrocoracidae. The record is from RefSeq and is a predicted model, not a curated record.